Molecule: small nuclear RNA, 107 nt
Organism: Trichechus manatus latirostris (Florida manatee)
Lineage: Eukaryota; Metazoa; Chordata; Mammalia; Sirenia; Trichechidae
Source: RefSeq, a predicted model, not a curated record
GUGUUCGCUUCAGCAGCACAAAUACUAAAACUGGAAUGAUACAGAGAAGAUCAGCAUGGCCCCUGCUCAAGGAUGACAUUCAAAUUCAUGAAGCAUUCCAUAUUUUU